AGAGGACCGGGAUGGACGUACCUCUGGUGUGCCAGUUGUCCUGCCAAGGGCAUUGCUGGUUGGCUACGUACGGCACGGAUAAGCGCUGAAGGCAUCUAAGUGCGAAGCCGGCCUCGAGAUGAGACCUCCCACCGCAUCAAGCGGGUAAGACCCCUGAGAGAACAUCAGGUUGAUAGGCCGGAAGUGGAAGCGCAGCAAUGUGCUCAGCUGACCGGUACUAAUCGGUCGAGGGCUUGAUUCG
Molecule: ribosomal RNA, 241 nt
Filed under: Actinomycetota bacterium
Lineage: Bacteria; Bacillati; Actinomycetota
Description: Actinobacteria bacterium (soil metagenome) partial 23S ribosomal RNA
Rfam family: Bacterial large subunit ribosomal RNA
Source: RNAcentral